CUUUAUUUAAUCACUUAUGUGCACUGUAGGUGCUGGCCCAGAUGUAAGCACAAGGAAAGGACACGUCAAAAAUAACCAAAAUAUUGAUGUGGUAAAGGAACAUCAGCUUUCAGAGGAGAACGGUGUAUAAACCUAGAUUACUGUAUUCUAUCCUAUUCUACUGUAUCUUAGUCUGUGCCGCUCUGACAUUGCUCGUCCAAAUAUUUAUGUAUAUUCUUAAUUCCUUUACUUUAGAUUUGUGCGUAUUGUUAGAUAUUACUGCACUGUUGGAGCUAGAAACACAAGCAUUUCGCUACACCCGCAAUAACAUCUGCCAAACACGUGUAUGUGACAUAAACAAUUUAAUUGUUAGAGAACAAACAAUUAAGAGUACAGAUUAUUGUAUGGGAAAUAUGCAAACUUUUUUGAGAAACAUAAUUUAUAUGAUUUUAGUUGAGUCAAUGUAUUUAUUGGUUCUUUUCAUUUUGAUUAGAGAAAUGAAAAUGUAAGGAAUUGAAAGUUAUUUGUUCAUGUAAAAAUCUAAAUUUUACAAAGUUGAAGGUUCUGUCAAUAGAUUUGGGCGGGGGGGGGAGGUCGCCAGAAGUUCCUGCCAAAAAAAUUGUCUCCUCGUUGAAAAGGUUUGUAUACCACUGGUCUAAAUCUACAAUGCACCCCCUCUGCUGGUGAGAUGAAGACUAACUAUGUGCAUCGUUACAGGCCUGUUAUUCCUUCAUGUGAAUUUCAAACAUUCCACAGAGGUUGUCAGAUGGAGGAAAAAUGAAUUGCCCUUUGUCAGUAUGAUGGACAAAACAGGAUCCAGGUGAAGAAACCAAAUGGUGUUACUGGGAAAUCAAGAGGUGGGGGUUCCCUAGAGUUAGAGUUGAACUGGGACGUGGACAUGAAGCUGGGGUUAAGGUUAAGACUAGAGUUAGAGUUGAACUGGGACGUGGACAUGAAGCUGGGGUUAAGGUUGUGGUUAAGACUAGGGUUAGAGUUGAACUGGGACGUGGACAUGAAGCUGGGGUUAAGGUUGUGGUUAAGACUAGGGUUAGAGUUGAACUGGGACGUGGACAUGAAGCUGGGGUUAAGGUUAUGGUUAAGACUAGGGUUAGAGUUGAACUGGGACGUGGACAUGAAGUUAGGGUUAUACUGGAAUAUGGACAUGAAGUUAGGGUUAUACUGGAAUAUGGACAUGAAGUUAGGGUUAUACUGGAAUAUGGACAUGAAGCUAGAGUUAGGGUUAUACUGGGAUAUGGACAUGAAGCCAGGGUUAGGGUUAUACUGGGAUAUGGACAUGAAGUUAGGGUUAUACUGGGAUAUGGACAUGAAGUUAGGGUUAUA
This 1320-nucleotide long non-coding RNA is filed under the name Salmo salar (Atlantic salmon). RNAcentral describes it as "lncRNA (ENSSSAG00000097590.1)". The record is from RNAcentral. Lineage: Eukaryota; Metazoa; Chordata; Actinopteri; Salmoniformes; Salmonidae.